RNAcentral lists this unclassified non-coding RNA (414 nucleotides) under fungal sp. RNAcentral describes it as "partial internal transcribed spacer region". The stretch from base 1 to 46 matches the Rfam family "Eukaryotic small subunit ribosomal RNA", at positions 1786 to 1831 of the family's 1831-position model. Lineage: Eukaryota; Fungi. The record is from RNAcentral.
AAGUCGUAACAAGGUUUCCGUAGGUGAACCUGCGGAAGGAUCAUUAACACGUAUCCAACGUUAAAACAACCCCGUGAACUUUCAGCUUGCUCCUGUAGCCCGUGAAAGCAGCAAUCCCUGGUAAAUCAUUGUUGACCAGCUUUUGAGUCAGGGACCUCUGCAGAUUGUGAUAUUUUAUAGCUACGGUUGAGCGAUUGCAUCUAGUGACCUGGCAUCCCCAAGUAAUCAGUGUUCUGAAAGUGUCAUUGAUUGUGUAAGGAUGGCGCAGUCACGAUCGCUGUAGGCCCACACGGCCGGCGACCGGGUCACCGGGCUCUGCUCCUUUACGACAGCUACAGUCUAACUUCGCCGCGCGUGAAAUUCGCACGGCACCAAAAACCGAACAACUGUUAACAAUGUGAUAUCUUGGUUCUC